UGGGGAAUUUUGGACAAUGGGGGAAACCCUGAUCCAGCCAUCCCGCGUGUGCGAUGAAGGCCUUCGGGUUGUAAAGCACUUUUGGCAGGAAAGAAACGUCGCGGGUUAAUACCCCGCGAAACUGACGGUACCUGCAGAAUAAGCACCGGCUAACUACGUGCCAGCAGCCGCGGUAAUACGUAGGGUGCAAGCGUUAAUCGGAAUUACUGGGCGUAAAGCGUGCGCAGGCGGUUCGGAAAGAAAGAUGUGAAAUCCCAGAGCUUAACUUUGGAACUGCAUUUUUAACUACCGGGCUAGAGUGUGUCAGAGGGAGGUGGAAUUCCGCGUGUAGCAGUGAAAUGCGUAGAUAUGCGGAGGAACACCGAUGGCGAAGGCAGCCUCCUGGGAUAACACUGACGCUCAUGCACGAAAGCGUGGGGAGCAAACAGGAUUAGAUACCCUGGUAGUCCACGCCCUAAACGAUGUCAACUAGCUGUUGGGGCCUUCGGGCCUUGGUAGCGCAGCUAACGCGUGAAGUUGACCGCCUGGGGAGUACGGUCGCAAGAUUAAAACUUAAAUGAAUUGGCGGGGGUCAU
RNAcentral lists this ribosomal RNA (575 nucleotides) under uncultured bacterium. Its description in RNAcentral is "partial 16S ribosomal RNA". It matches the Rfam family "Bacterial small subunit ribosomal RNA", at positions 355 to 923 of the family's 1533-position model. The record is from RNAcentral.